This is a long non-coding RNA of Equus caballus (horse), 1645 nucleotides long. NCBI's taxonomy places the organism in Eukaryota, Metazoa, Chordata, Mammalia, Perissodactyla, Equidae. The record is from Ensembl.
AUUCAUUCUUCAUCUGUAUUCAACCUACUAUUUAUCCCAUCUAUUGCGUUCUCUAUUUCAACUGUAUAUAUUUUUUGUAGCUAAUAAUUCCACUUUUCUGUGCCUGAGGGAAGGGGUAAGGGAUGAUCCUACAGAGAAGGUGGUGAUGAGCUGUCUGGAGAGGUGAGCAGGGGUUUGCCAGAUUAUGAGAGAAAGGAGAAUCAACCUGUGGGUUCAGCAGUAGCCAAGGCCUGGAGACCAGACAGCAGGGCCCAGCUUUUCCUGCUGGGAAUGGCUGGAGCACUGGAAGUAGGGUGGGAGGGAGAUGAGGUAGGAAACUGCGGGGCCUUGUACUUUAUAAGGCCAGAGUCACUGAGGCUGGUGGAGAGAGAGCCUUGACUUGUGAGCUCUGCAGGCUGUGGUAACCUGUGGAAAGAUGGCAGCUUCAAGGCAGUGUUGGAGGACACCCAGCCCUUUGAGGUGAAGAGACUCUCCUCCACUUCAUGCUCCAGCUCCAUCCCCCUUCCCUUGGGCACCUGCCAGAAGGUCCCUCCUUUUUUUCCUGGAGAGGAAGGUAAGUGGAGAUGGGGAAGGAGACAUGGACCCAGAAAAGGCACCCUAGAGAACUUGUGAUUAGAUCUGGAUUUUGUGGGAUGCUGGGGCAGUGGGUGGAGGGAGGGAAGUGAUUCAAAUAAGGAGUAGAGAAAGGCAGCUCUGAUAAAGGCAGGAGUCUGUGUUAGAGAAAGAAGAUGGGGAAGCACCAAGAGCUUGCCUUUGAACAGAAGGCCCUAAUCUGGAAGAAUUUGGGAGCUGAGGCUGGUGAGGGAGGGGCCAGACCCUGGAGGUAACCCCAGGGUCAUGGCCAUCAUUUCUCAAAAGCCACUGCAGGUCAUAGGAACUUCUCUCCCUCCCCUAGCUGCCCCACUGCCUCCUUCCUAGUGGUUUCCUGACACUCAGGCCCCAGGCUCUUCUGAAGUUCUCCCAUCUUUCCCACAGAUCCUUCCCUCUUUGAGGAGAGGGUGCCCCAUGAUUUAUCCUCACUAUCUUCUCCACAUAGGUAGCCCCAGGGCCUUGACAGGAGUGAAACUUCCUGGAUGCUCUGUUCCACUGAUAGCUUCUACAGUGCCUCUUUUCUUUGAGAGGACCCCACACAUCAUCCUUCCAGGAGCACUCGCCCUCCCUUUGCUACCCGCACGAUCUUCCGCAACCCGCUGACCUAGGGUUGAGAGGCCGCCCAGGUAAAAGCUCGCCCAGGUCCCACCCCUCACGCGCUUCGGCCCAGCCUCUUUCCUGCGCGCCCCGGACCUGCAUCUUUACAGCUUCUCACCCGACACCUCCGGCCUUCGGCGCCGCCGCUGCCGCGCGCAAACAGAUUCCAGGGGCAGACAGCUGGAUCUCGCGAACACCCGGGACGCGUCCCUCCCGCCGUCUAGAGCAAGAGACGGGUAGCAGGCCUCCACCGCUACGGACGGCUCCCGGGCUCCCAUUGGAGGAGUGUCCUCCCCUCUUCCUUGGGAUUGGCUGGAGAUGGAAACGCUUUAUUUUUACCCUCAAAGACUGGAUCCAAGCCGAAGAAAACUCCGCCCCCUCGGGGGUCUUUGAUUGAUUUCCGAGCCAAGCCAACCCUUUAAUAGGAUUGGUCAGCAGGAGAGGGCUCGUUAUUUCC